UACAGUUCAAGCUUUUCAAUGCUGGUUUGGUGUUAACAUAAGACCUACAAGAACAUUUUAUUGAUAUAAUCGUAUAAACAUUUGAAUUGAAAAUUUCAAAAGAAAAAUCCUGAAUGGGCAUCUAAGGGCUAUCCUCAAAGACAGAAAUAUCCAGGUAUCUAAGGGCUAUCCUCAAAGACAGAAUAUUCAGCUAUCUAAGGCUAUCCUCAAGAAGAAAUAUUCAGCAUCUAAGCUAUCUCAAAGACAGGAAUAUUCAGGCAUCUAAGGGCUAUCCUCAAAGACAGGAAUAUUCAGCAUCUGAGGGCUAUCCUCACAGACAGAAAUAUUCAGGUAUCUAAGGGCUAUCCUCAAAGACAGGAAUAUUCUAACUUGUCAGGUCAGCAGUUUG
RNAcentral lists this long non-coding RNA (388 nucleotides) under Mytilus galloprovincialis (Mediterranean mussel). The record is from RNAcentral. Lineage: Eukaryota; Metazoa; Mollusca; Bivalvia; Mytilida; Mytilidae.